This is a long non-coding RNA of Mustela erminea (ermine), 5587 nucleotides long. RefSeq lists it as uncharacterized. The transcript is spliced from 6 exons. The record is from RefSeq and is a predicted model, not a curated record. Lineage: Eukaryota; Metazoa; Chordata; Mammalia; Carnivora; Mustelidae.
GGACUGCAGCCGCCCAGGCGGGGGGCGGGGAAUGAGUCGCCGGGGGCUUGAGGGGAGUGGUCAAUGUUAAGUGGCUGGCCCCUAGCAGGUGCCUGGAGGAGAGCCUAGUGCAGGAAGUAGCCCCCUGGGGGGAGAAGCCGGUGGGCCGGGAAAGGACAAAUGGAAAACGGAAUUAGGGGCCAGGCUCUGAGGCACGGUGAUGGGGAGACACAGAAGGAGGGGCAGUCCGGUUGGGGGAAGAAAUUGGGGCUGGAGAGUGGGAGAGGUUGAAGUGAGUUAUGGAUCACAGGAAUAGGGGCUGUGUAUUUGCGUGAGGGUAUGGGGGGGUGGUUCUGUGGAGUGGAGGGCGGGGAGAUGCAGCAGGGUCAGGAAGAGACUGUGGGGUGGGAAGAAAGCCUGCUGAGUGGAAAGGGGAAAAGGGAAAUUUGAGAUCAAGCCAUCCCAGACCAGAGCCAUCUUCCUUGUCCAGCUCUGAACUCCCUCUCUCUGCCUCAUUGCUUUAACCCCGGGUCAGAGCAUGCUGUUCCCUUUGCUCAUGAUUGUUCCUUUCCUGGUGCAGCGGAGUUCACACUAGCCAGUGUUCUGGUAGAUGGAAAGGUUGCCCCACCUCUCCUGGGCUUCUCUUAUCUUAGCCGGGUCCCCCCCUUCUUCACGUUUUGUCCUUCCUAGGUAGUUGGAGUCUAGCUCCUAGGUAAUGCCAGCCAUAGCUGAGGGCCAGGGGAGCAGGUGGCUGUGCAGAGCCACUUCCAGCCUGUGGACAAAGGGCUGAGACACGGAAAAUCUACCAGUGCCCAUUCCGGUUUAGGCCUGGCUGGGGCAGCCUUGGGUCAAGUCCUCUCUGUAGUCCCGGUUUCUACCAACAUCAGGAAGGGGAGCCGCAAGAACCAUCUAGGCAGGCGCCCGGGGACUGUGUCAGGAUGGAGAGUUCAAUCCCCACCCCCGAAGACGGGACUUAGCAACGCCCUUCCGAAGAACAGAGAAAGGGAAAAGUACAACUUUCAACGAAGAUCAACCUGGCAAACAUGGCCUUAACCAGCGCUGAAGGUUAACAUCAGGGACAGGGUGUCACCAGGACAUUGUGGAUAGCACAUACCCCUCAUAUAACGUAGGAGGGCCGUUUCACCUCUGUAGCAUACUUUCUGAAAGCCCAUAACCCCGGAGUGGGGGAGAGUCUGUAGGAUACUUGACCAAUACAUUGCACGACUGUCAAAAUCAUGGAAAACAAGGACCAAAAGCUAUGACCUGAGGUAACUGGGGAGACAUGCCCACUGAGUGCAAUGUGAUAUGCGGACCAGGUCCUGGAACAGAAAGAGGACAUAAAUGGAAAAGCUGGUGACAUCUAAAUCAAGCAUGGAGUAGGUUAACAGUCAUGUGCCAAUGUCAGCGUCUUCAUUUUGACAAAGGAAGACCUGGGUUUAAGCCCUGCCUCCAUCAAUCUCAAGAUGCGGGACCUCAGGGAAGGGAGGAGAGGUACCACCAAGGAUAUGCAUGGAAGCCGCCAUCACCUGAGUUCCUCAUCUGUAAGCCAGAAGCCAAGCCAGCCUGGGAAAGAAGCGUCUCUCAGCCAGCAUCCCUGACAAGGACACACGCCUGCUCCGUGGGGAAGUCUUAGGUACUAUAUGUUUGGCCUUCACCACAAAAGCCCUGCGGCCCAGAGCCAUGGCGUUCCAACCAUUUAGACCACGAACCACAGUUACAAAAACAGUUUACGUGAGGACCCAGUGUGCGCACACCCACACACUUCCCUGUCCUGGGCUCACACGGUGAGUCUCCUGAAAUACAAUCUGGCCUUACUAUGUGUGAUGGGCUUGGGUAUUUUUCUACUCUACUUUGUUUUCUUUAAUGCUGGUAGUGACUCACUCAAUUGGUUCUGUGCCCUAGAGAAUGGAAAAUGUGGCUUUAGAGUAGCCGAUCCACUACCCAAGCUUGGAAAACCAGGCGAAGACCAAGCAAAGUUCAACUCGCAGAUGUCACAGAACAGAGAAGGAUGAUAAUAAGAACACUGGCUGUCGGUAUGAGGGUUCAGAGAGAUCUUUAAAAACUAGUAGGUGCAGUGCUUUGGAGCACAAAGCUGUAGACCUAAAUGAGAGUUGGGGCCAUGCCGUCAUCUGUGGGGUGGCUGGGGCACCCCUCUCAGGCUGUGCCAUCUACAGGACAGAGGGAACAGCACCCUCCUGGGAUGCUGGCAGGCGUCAAUAAUUACAACAGAGGCAGCGAGCACACAGUGGUAAUCACUAAAUAGUGGUUUAAACUUUGAAGUUGAGUACAUCCUGCACUUGGGGUAAAAAAAAAAAAACAAAAAACCUCGCAUACAUACAGGACGAAACAACAGAGCUUAAUAGUGGUUCUGUGAAAAAGCCCCAGUGGGUUUGACUCAAAGCUAAACGCGAGACAAGAGAAUCUAGAUGUGGCUGCCAAAACUCUACUGCAAUUUUGGGAUUGCAUUCCCAGAAAGUUCAAUCAUGGAGGAAUAAAAAAAUCGUCCUAGUGUGUUCUGCACAUUUGGGUCACAUCUGGAGUGUCAGGUUUCGUUCUGAGGGAUAUUUUGAAAGGGGCAUUUUCAAUUGGAGCUUGUUCAGAGGACAGCAGCAAUGGUCUGCCAGGACUAGUGAGACCCACCAGGGCAUUCAUCCCAUCCCUGGUUCAAAGACUUCGUGAAGGGUGGAGAUGUCAAGAAGGCAGACUCUGAGGUGCCUGGCUGGCCCAGCAGAUAGUGGGUGUGACUUCUGAUCUCGGGGUUGUGAGUCUGAGCCCCAUGUUGGAUGCAGAGUCUGCUUUAAAAAGGCAGACUGCAGACUAACAGAAGGGAGAACUUUGAAAAAAUGUCAUCAGGUUGCCUUUUGAGGUCAUGUUCUCCCUUUUCUGGUAUCGUUUAGACAGAGGCAGGAUGUAUGUCUCUGCUGGAGAUGGGAGGUCUAGAUAGGGUGGGAAGCAGAGUUAGAUGAUCUUUAAGAUUAUUUUUUAAUUCUCAGACCAUGUUGCUGUUAAAAGCACAAGCUGAGUUAGUUGCGGCCAAGUCUGGGAAGGGAAGCCAGGGGCUCUCCCAGGAGGCGCCCCUGGACUCAGGUUCCCUUAGCUAAAAUGGGGGACUGACCCUCCCGCUAAGGAUACGGGCACAGAGCAGGGUGCCAUGAAAUGAAAACAGGCCUCGUGGUUCUUACUCAACUCCCUUUCCCAUCUUCCUCUCUCCCCCUAUAGGCGUCCUUACCCUGGAUUCAAAACAGUUUGGAGAUGGGGCUGGGAUCAGAGCAAUUCUUCAGUUAGGAAGUUACAGCAUAAUUUACUGAAGCAAGCAGACAGAACUGCUGGGGCUGACAUUGUACCUUUUCAGUUUGGUUUCAUUUUCCUCCCCAGCCGGCUCCUGAAAUAACCCUCUAGCUCUCAAACCAAUGUUUGUAAGUAUCUCUCCGAGUGUCCCUCUGAGCUUUGCGGCCCCUGGGCUGUGGCUUGGGCAACCAAAGCAGAAACGGAUCUCCCUGUCAUUGCAGAAUUAUAUCCGGGGAUUAACCAUGAAAGGGAAAAAAGCAGCAUUUCCAGUUGGGUGUUUGAAAAUGAAAAGUGGUUCAGGAGGAGCGUAGAUACGUAACUGCAAGACUGUGAUCAAAGGCACUUUGAACCUCAUUAAUUUGGAACUUUGUAUUUAAACGUGUAAUUUGGACAUAAAUUGUGCUUAAAUUUGUCUUCGUACUAUUCACAGUGAGGCUAACUAGUGUAUGAAAACUGCAAAGGGACCCCUGGGCAUCAUCACGCAAUUGUUUUAUGCCUCUUCUACCAUUUUAACCGUUACCAUAUUUGCUUUUACCAGUUUACAUCCGGUCCCUGAAACCUACAUUUAGCAACACGGUUUGCACCUGGAUUUUGGAAAUCAGCAGUACCCCCCAACGGAGCAUCAGCUAACAGGCUGGGAACUCUUUGUCAACAAGUUCUUAAACGGCCCACAAUUAGGCUAAGAGCUUGCAUGAUUCUUGCUGGUGCUCAAAGACCCAAGUAAAAACAUUAAACGGCGGUUUCUGCCCACUCCGCAAUCUAAGGCGAGAAGUCAUCCGUCCUAGGGGGUGCUCUCGUGUCCUGACACCAUUUCUCCAUUGGUGCAUCGGGAACCAGGUUGGGUUCUAUGCCCAGGAGUGCCCAUGUGGUUGGCGCCAUCUGCAUUUCAAGCAUUUCCUUGCCUCUCUCUGCACUCGGAAGGGCCCUAAUCGCUGGGGGGAACCCGGAGUCAGAGUGCAGAAGGGUCCCCCCAACACACCGCAAGGACUACGAGCGUCCGCCACCUCCUCGGGGCGGACCCAGGCUACGUCCACCGGCCGGGCAGCACUGAGGCGGGUCGGCAACCGGGCGGAGGGGAUGCCAGGCCUGCCCGGUUGCCCGCACCUCUCGCCGGCCCCCGGAAGCGCCACCCUCCCGCCCAGCGGGCUCCGAGGGGGCGGGGAGUCGAACGCCCCCUUCCGGGUGCCUCCGCCCGGCUGGCCAGCCCCGCUCCUCCUCCGGGCGGGAAUCCUCCCUCCCCCGCCCCUCCCGGAGCCGGGCCCCGGCGCCAGGCCCGGCCCCAGGGGGGAACCCCCAGCCCCGGCUCCCCGUCCCUGCGGCCUCUGCCCGUCUUCCCGACCCUUGGGGGCCGGGAAGACCCCGCCGGCAGCGGCCAGGACCCACCGCUCAUUACGACAUCUUCCUCCCUGGCCUCCGCCGCCUCCGCCGCCACCGAGAGCCUGACACCGCCCGCCCAGCACCCGCCAAUCCCGGAGCCCGCCACCGCCCGAGCGACGGCAGCCUUCGCCAAUAAGAAUUCAGUACAUUGGGGACCGACAGCACCAAUAACCAAUCAAAGAGGGGCGUCUAGAGCGACGUUGGUUUAGCCAAUCGACCCGUGAAAUGUCACUGAUGGACGGUAGAAGGCACUAACCGGAAACCUACUGAAAAGUGAACGACAUGUUCGCCAGCCAAUUGGCGGGAGGCAAAGUCCCGCCCACCAGGUGGUUGAUGGACAGCAACAGGAAGCUAGAUGAGGAGGGGCUUAGCCGAGGAGUGGUUUUGUAUUGGUCGUGGUUGACCUUCCACCCACCUCGAACCCAAAAGAUGAGUGAUAGAUCUCCCCUAAAGCCAAUCAGAAGUCCUUAGGGUGAGGCCCAGAAAUGCCCUAUAAAUAGUACAUACGCUAUAGCUCAGUUCAGUGUCCCCCUUGGUAUGGCAGGGGCCUGCUGCGCUUCGGCCGCUCAAGCCCCGUACCUGGUGAGUGGAAAGCCACCAGUCCUUUAUUUAGUCCCUCGCCUUUCAGCGCCUCGGCGGAGGGAACUGAACCCCAGGCGACGUUGUGCGGACCGGCAUCGGAGUCCAGUAAUAGCCGGAGUUGGUGCUACGUGACACUUCUGAGACGAGGGAUUAUUUCGCCGUCCCGGUUAUCCUCACCUGAUCCUGCAGCGACCCGUCCCCCACAACGGGCUGUCCCCCCAAAUCUCCUAAAGCUUUUAGAAGGGAGAUCCCCGGGGCUGCCUCUGACCAUCCGAUUCUGUGCGCCUGGGGCAGGAAUCUGCGCUGGGACCAGCGCCUCGGGUGGACUGAAUUGGUCCCAUUCCACUUUAACGCCCUUGAA